GUAAGGACCUUUCCUUCGGGAGAGGAGCGUACACAGGUGCUGCAUGGCUGUCGUCAGCUCGUGUCGUGAGAUGUUGGGUUAAGUCCCGCAACGAGCGCAACCCUCGUCGUUAGUUGCUAACAGUUAGGCUGAGAACUCUAACGAGACUGCCUUCGUAAGGAGGAGGAAGGUGAGGACGACGUCAAGUCAUCAUGGCCCUUACGGCCAGGGCUACACACGUGCUACAAUGGGGUGUACAGAAAGCUGCAAUAUCGCGAGAUGGAGCAAAUCUCAAAAACACCUCCCAGUUCGGAUUGUUCUCUGCAACUCGAGAACAUGAAGUUGGAAUCGCUAGUAAUCGUAGAUCAGCAUUGCUACGGUGAAUACGUUCCCGGGUCUU
RNAcentral lists this ribosomal RNA (379 nucleotides) under uncultured Arcobacter sp. Its description in RNAcentral is "bacterial SSU rRNA". It matches the Rfam family "Bacterial small subunit ribosomal RNA", at positions 1003 to 1382 of the family's 1533-position model. Lineage: Bacteria; Pseudomonadati; Campylobacterota; Epsilonproteobacteria; Campylobacterales; Arcobacteraceae. The record is from RNAcentral.